Molecule: long non-coding RNA, 852 nt
Organism: Myotis davidii
Lineage: Eukaryota; Metazoa; Chordata; Mammalia; Chiroptera; Vespertilionidae
Exons: 2
Source: RefSeq, a predicted model, not a curated record
UCUAUCCACUGAGCCAAACCGGUCAGGGCUGUUUCCUAAAUUUUUAUAUGUUGCUGAAAUUCAGAUGAACAAGCAAAAAUCCCCACACUUUUUCUUAAGAACUCACGGUCUUUAGCAAAAUUGCUGUGGCUUUCUCCCCUGCGCCCUUUAAAUGGUGGCUGUCCCAUCCUACCACCGUGACUUCUAAAUCCAUUCUCAUUUCUUUCUAAAACCCCAAGGCUUCAAAUGUCAUGUUAGGUACAUUCCAUUUACUAUCCUUCCCUGUUAGUUAUGACAGACCCCGAAAGCAUGGGCUUUUUUUACUCACUCUUUACCGCCCACUUCUACUUGGGUCUUCUUAAUUUCAAGCCUUCCACUCUCCAAUCAUUUCUUCCUAUUUUAUCCCUUGUUCUCCCAUACUUUAUUUCCACUAGGACCUAUACAUGAUCUGAUCACCCAUGUUCCUAACUCUUCCUGAAUCUUUCUUUCCUUUAUCCAAUACAAAGCCCACCAUUAAUCAUUAUAACCAAUCCCAACCCUAGUAUUUUCAUUUGGAUAAACAAAUGCUGGACAAAUCUAACUCUCUGCCCAGUCUGAGCCUAUUGUUCAAAAUGGCUCAAAAAACACAACCAUGCGGGUGGGCCCACUAUAAAUAACUGUCCUCUUCUAUUGCAUUUUUCAGUCUACAAAUAUGCUCUGAUUUCUCAUAAGCAAAAAUUCUUUAUAACAUAUUUUCCUCAUUGCCACAUCAUUUGUCUUCUUUUCAGCAAAAUUACUGCCAUACUCAUCUCAGAUUUCUUUCCAUUUGUUCUUGGACAUACACCAAUCAGGAUCUCACCCUAUGUAUACAUCAUUUGCCAAUCACUUUGGGGG